UCUACGGGUGGCAGCAGUGAGGAAUAUUGGUCAAUGGACGAGAGUCUGAACCAGCCAAGUAGCGUGAAGGAUGACUGCCCUAUGGGUUGUAAACUUCUUUUAUAUGGGAAUAAAAUGUUCCACGUGUGGGAUUUUGUUUGUACCAUAUGAAUAAGGAUCGGCUAACUCCGUGCCAGCAGCCGCGGUAAUACGGAGGAUCCGAGCGUUAUCCGGAGUUAUUGGGUUUAAAGGGUGCGUAGGCGGACAGUCAAGUCAGCGGUAAAAAUGCGGUGCGCAACGCCGUACAGCCGUUGAAACUGGCAGUCUUGAGUGGGCGAGAAGUAUGCGGAAGGCGUGGUGUAGCGGUGAAAUGCAUAGAUAUCACGCAGAACUCCGAUUGCGAAGGCAGCAUACCGGCGCCCUACUGACGCUGAGGCACGAAAGCGUGGGUAUCGAACAGGAUUAGAGACCCCGGUAGUC
RNAcentral lists this ribosomal RNA (459 nucleotides) under uncultured bacterium. RNAcentral describes it as "partial 16S ribosomal RNA". It matches the Rfam family "Bacterial small subunit ribosomal RNA", at positions 338 to 795 of the family's 1533-position model. The record is from RNAcentral.